CAGGACGAACGCUGGCGGCGUGCCUAACACAUGCAAGUCGAGCGGGGACAUACGACGGAGUCAAAGUUUCGGAUGGAGACGAAGAUGUAUGUUCUAGCGGCGGACGGGUGAGUAACGCGUGAGCAACCUGUCCCUUACAGGGGGAUAACACAGCGAAAGUUGUACUAAUACCGCAUGAGACCACGGGAGGACAUCCUCCAGGGGUCAAAGGAGCAAUCCGGUAAGGGGUGGGCUCGCGUCCGAUUAGAUAGUUGGUGAGGUAACGGCCCACCAAGUCGACGAUCGGUAGCCGACCUGAGAGGGUGAUCGGCCACAUUGGGACUGAGACACGGCCCAAACUCCUACGGGAGGCAGCAGUGGGGAAUAUUGGGCAAUGGGGGGAAACCCUGACCCAGCAACGCCGCGUGAGGGAAGAAGGUUUUUGGAUCGUAAACCUCUGUCCUUGGUGAAGAGGAAGAGACGGUAGCCAAGGAGGAAGCCCCGGCUAACUACGUGCCAGCCGCGGC
Molecule: ribosomal RNA, 506 nt
Filed under: uncultured bacterium
Lineage: Bacteria
Description: bacterial SSU rRNA
Rfam family: Bacterial small subunit ribosomal RNA
Source: RNAcentral